Molecule: ribosomal RNA, 361 nt
Filed under: uncultured Lactobacillus sp.
Lineage: Bacteria; Bacillati; Bacillota; Bacilli; Lactobacillales; Lactobacillaceae
Description: bacterial SSU rRNA
Rfam family: Bacterial small subunit ribosomal RNA
Source: RNAcentral
AAAGAAGUUUAAAAGGUAACGGCGUAAAGACUGUCGCUAAAGGAAUGGACCUGCGAUGCAUUAGCUAGUUGGUAAGGUAACGGGCGUUUACCAAGGCGAUGAUGCAUAGCCCGAGUUGAGAGACUGAUCGGCCACAUUGGGGACUGAGACACGGGCCCAAACUCCUACGGGAGGCAGCAGUAGGGAAUCUUCCACAAUGGACGAAAGUCUGAUGGAGCAAACGCCGCGUGAGUGAAGAAGGUUUUCGGAUCGUAAAGCUCUGUUGUUGGUGAAGAAGGAUAGAGGUAGUAACUGGCCCUUUAUUUGACGGUAAUCAACCAGAAAGUCACGGGCUAACUACGUGCCAGCAGCCGCGGUAAAU